GAUAAGGUGGCUGAAAUAUUAGGCAAUAAAUUGUAAAUUUAUGAAUGAGUUAUACUCUCUUAUCA
Molecule: transfer RNA, 65 nt
Filed under: Urolabida sp. FS-2019
Lineage: Eukaryota; Metazoa; Arthropoda; Insecta; Hemiptera; Urostylididae
Description: tRNA-Tyr
Source: RNAcentral